RNAcentral lists this ribosomal RNA (253 nucleotides) under uncultured bacterium. Its description in RNAcentral is "partial 16S ribosomal RNA". It matches the Rfam family "Bacterial small subunit ribosomal RNA", at positions 524 to 776 of the family's 1533-position model. The record is from RNAcentral.
GACGUAGGGCGCAAGCGUUGUCCGGAUUUAUUGGGCGUAAAGAGCUCGUAGGCGGCUUGUUGCGUCGUCCGUGAAAACCCGUGGCUCAACUGCGGGCUUGCGGACGAUACGGGCAGGCUGGAGUUCGGUAGGGGAGACUGGAAUUCCUGGUGUAGCGGUGAAAUGCGCAGAUAUCAGGAGGAACACCGGUGGCGAAGGCGGGUCUCUGGGCCGAUACUGACGCUGAGGAGCGAAAGCUAGGGGAGCAAACAGG